RNAcentral lists this small RNA (1730 nucleotides) under Pongo abelii (Sumatran orangutan). RNAcentral describes it as "retained intron". The record is from RNAcentral. Lineage: Eukaryota; Metazoa; Chordata; Mammalia; Primates; Hominidae.
ACUGGCGGCCGAGGUAGAGGCAGUGGCGCUUGAGUUGGUCAGGGGCAGCGGCAGAUUUGAGGCUUAAGCAACUUCUUCCGGGGAAAAGUGCCAGUGCAGCCGCUGUUGCAAUUCAAGAUCUUGAUCUAUAUCCAUAGAUUGGAAUAUUGGUGGGCCAGCAAUCCUCAGACACCUCACUUAGGACAGGCUGUAAAAAUUAAAAUGAACAAACUACGGCAAAGUUUUAGGAGAAAGAAGGAUGUUUAUGUUCCAGAGGCCAGUCGUCCACAUCAGUGGCAGACAGAUGAAGAAGGUGUUCGCACUGGAAAAUGUAGCUUCCCGGUUAAGUACCUUGGCCAUGUAGAAGUUGAUGAAUCAAGAGGAAUGCACAUCUGUGAAGAUGCUGUAAAAAGAUUGAAAGCUACUGGAAAGAAAGCUGUUAAAGCAGUUCUGUGGGUCUCAGCAGAUGGACUCAGAGUUGUGGAUGAAAAAACUAAGGACCUCAUAGUUGACCAGACGAUAGAGAAAGUUUCUUUCUGUGCCCCAGAUAGGAACUUUGAUAGAGCCUUUUCUUACAUAUGUCGUGAUGGCACCACUCGUCGCUGGAUCUGUCACUGCUUCAUGGCUGUCAAGGACACAGGUGAAAGGUUGAGCCAUGCAGUAGGCUGUGCUUUUGCAGCCUGUUUAGAGCGCAAGCAGAAGCGGGAGAAGGAAUGUGGAGUGACUGCUACUUUUGAUGCUAGUCGGACCACUUUUACAAGAGAAGGAUCAUUCCGUGUCACAACAGCCACUGAACAAGCAGAAAGAGAGGAGAUCAUGAAACAAAUGCAAGAUGCCAAGAAAGGUACAAUCUGUUCUACAGUGUGUAUUUAUGGAAUGCAGUUUUUCCCAACAAGUUAUUAUUUUGAAGCUACCAGGGGUAAGUAAGUUUUCUCAUAAUCAAAGAGAACCCUUAGCAAUAUAAAACCUUAUAACAAAGUUGAAAAUCUUAAAAACUGCUUCCUUUAGAGUGGCUAGUUUAAUGGCUUCAAAAAUAUUUACUCCAUUAUAGUAAGCUAUCUGAGGAAUCAGAGUGCAGUUGAAGAAGCUGCAGAGACAUCUCUUACCCCCUUCCUCCCAUCCUGAAAUACCUUUUUAAUUCUGAUGCAUCUGAUCUCUGUGAGAAGCAAAUGAAUCAAGUACCUGCAUCUUAAAGGAAGCAGCACAGGUCCCAGGGCUUAAGGCUGCAAACCAUCCACGAACUAUGAUGCUAGCGGAGAGAUUGAACAGUAAUACUGUUUAUAUGAGAUUAUUGCUGUUUUUUAGUGCUUUCUAGUCACAAAAGUCUAUAGAUUUUGAGAGGUAAGCCUGUAACUCUUUUUCCUAUAGCCCUGUUAAUUUAAUGUAGUGUGUGAUUUUAUAGAGUGUGAGUUUUAUUUAGGUACAGAUGGCAUCACAGCAGAAAUGCCUGUACAAACAUUCAAGUUAGUCGGCAGUCUAUAAAUGUGAGUUGGGUAUAUUUUAGAACUAAAUGAUAGGGCUUGAAAAUACUUUUGCAUUCUUGUAUAUAAGUAGGGUUAAAACCAACAAGACAAGCACAAACAAUUCAGGUUAACUAAUAGACAUUAAUAUAAUUUUGAGGCCAGGUAUAGUGGCUCACAGCUGUAAUCUCAAUACUUUAGGAGGCUGAGGAGGAAAGAUCACUUGAGGCCAGGAGUUUGUGACCAGACUGUGCAACAUAGACUCUAUCCCUAAAGAAAAAAAAAAAAAAA